CGCCCUAUUUGCAAACUAGUGAUCUGAAAACUUCAUGGAUGAUUUGAUAUACAUGUUGAGGGGAUGACGCUGUUGAAAAUUUGGGAGGAGUGAGCUGUGUGUGCCAGUCCCUGAGACAGAAAGAGAAAUUGGAAAGGUUUGUAUUCGACUUCUCCUUCCUAGGUCACAGAGACUCAGUUCUUUCUUCAGACAGAAGCCAAGGAAAAGUUUUACUCCAAAGUCUCUGUGAAACAGCAUUUCUUUCUGACUUUAAAUGUUGUAAUUAAAAAUUGAGAGGAGAAGAGAACAAAGUUAAACCAACCUGAAAACUCUGCUGCUUUGACAAAUAAAGAGAUGAUCACUACUUGUACUUAAUACUUGCUAUCUUCUACUUACAGUAAUGCUAAGAAUCACAGGAACACAAGUACUUGAAAAUGGAGGAAUUCCAAAAAUAGUUUCUAUUACUAUGGAAGUAUCAGCAAAAUCUAUCAGAAAAAAGAAGAAAAUGCCAGGGCUACAUUCAGCAAAGGAUAAUCAUCUCUUAUGCUACAACAUGUGGGAGCUGUCAUCUGGAUGGUGUUAGAAAGUCUAAUUCACCCAGUAGAUUCAGACAAGUAUGUUAAAUAAGGUGCCACUAGGAAGGAGUCAGAAAUGCAGAGGGGGCUUGAGGGUCUGGACAGUACUGUACUCCAUUUGUAUGUGUAUGUAAGUAAAUAUGGAUAAGCUAGAAAACAAAAACAAAGACAAAAUGGAAUACCAUCUAUGUUUCUCUGAAGGAUCACUAAGACUUAAAUGCUUGUAACAUUAGGGAAAAGCAGUGUGAAGCGAAAUCCAGAAUGUCAGCUUCUCUGUUUGUGCUAAGUCGAGUUCAAGAUGAAGAAUUCUUUCGCAGUUUAAAGGUGUAUUCCUCCUCAAUCCCACACUCCAGCCUCACAACAUCAUCCAGGGUGUUAGUUCCCUAAAGAAAGAAAAUGGCCCCUCGAAACUCCAAGGAAUGGGUUCUCUCUUUAUCGAUGUUAGCAAGACCUACUGUUCUGCUCUGAACAGCUUUUGUGAAAACAUAGUGUUUAAACAGCCUCCUGGUUUUUCCAUCUUUUUUCCUCUUUCCCUUCUUUUGCAAAUGAAUUUCUUUCUCUAGGUUAGGAGGAGUAGUUAGAGGGCUUUGUCUGGGCACCGACUGAAAGAAGCAGUCAAAAAGCUUGAAAAUUGAACAGAGAAAGAGUUUGGGGGAGGGGGCAAGGCAAAAGCCUCUGCAGAAAAUUAUUCCUGCAAGCCCAGCAAGGACCUUAGCUACCUUCCUUUUUCUGUUUCUUCAUUUGCUUAUUUGGGUUUAUGCAUGAGAGAGCAUCUAUGCCGUUUCUGUGUUUUCCUGUCACAGAUAAGUGAAAGGAAUGAGUUUAGAACUAAAUUGAAAAGUGCGCAGGAUGGAGAAGUGGUGGGAAAUUCAAUCAAUGUAUCUGUAUAGAUUGUCAUCUCUAGGUCAGGAAUGAAAAACUGAAUUUCUGAGAACUCAAACUCGCAAGCUAAUUUUCCUCACAUUAUUUUGUGAAGCAAGUAUGAUCAGAGGUUAUUGUGAUGAGAUACGAUUUUCAGUUUUCUCUCAGGUUUGACUGUUGUAUGGAUUAGAGAAAAGAUAAGGUUUUCACAUACUAGCUGUUGCAGGGCAAUUCUCAUUCUUCCUGCACGCCUGUCUGAAGGAAUAAGGUCACUUGUUACAGUCAGAGGCAUAUCUAGGGAUCUAAUUUAAAGGCAUCAGCCUCCUAGCAUGUUUAUUUGAAAUUUAACACUGGCGAAGCUGAAACCAGGAUUUUAUGAAACUGUGUUCAAUUGUUAGUUAUGGUUUGACAAUGAUAUUCUUUUCCUUUUUCCCUCCUUCCUGUUUUCUCUCUCUCCCUCUCUUUCUUUCCCCCUCCUUCCUAUUAGACACAUACAUUUUGGUGUUUUACUAUUCCUUUUUUUAAUC
This is a long non-coding RNA of Fukomys damarensis (Damara mole-rat), 1942 nucleotides long. NCBI's taxonomy places the organism in Eukaryota, Metazoa, Chordata, Mammalia, Rodentia, Bathyergidae. The record is from Ensembl.